This is a long non-coding RNA of Rosa rugosa (rugosa rose), 884 nucleotides long. RefSeq lists it as uncharacterized. NCBI's taxonomy places the organism in Eukaryota, Viridiplantae, Streptophyta, Magnoliopsida, Rosales, Rosaceae. The transcript has 4 exons. The record is from RefSeq and is a predicted model, not a curated record.
ACCCAUAAGUGUUUGGUAAGCCAACUUCUUAUCAGCUUUCUCCAGAAGCUGCUGUGGCUUCUGCCCAAAAGCAGAAGCAGCCGAACCCCAGCUUUUAAAAGCCAGAAGCCAGGAAAUCACUGUGGCGGUGUUACUGUAGAUUAAUGAAAUUUUCAAAAUACCGGUGUCUAUCCUCCAUUGUUUGAGGCAAUUACUAUUGCCAUGAAACCCUUCUUGAUAGAUGAUGCCGCAACAAUCUCUCUCCCUCUCAUCACAGACGCCGCAUCAAUCUCUGAUCACAGACGCCCCAUCAAUCUCUCUCCCUCUGACACCGCCUCAUCUAGCCUUUCAUCAGGAUUUUGGGUUGGAAAUCAAAGCCUCACUCAAGCAAGGCUUCUUGGAAAUUUGAUUCAGCCUUUGCACUUCCUUUUCGUUCGGCUCUCCUUUUCAGCCUUUGCACUUCCAAAAGGCUGCAAGCUGAUGCAAAUCUCUUAGAACCCAUUAGUUUUCUCAAGGAUUUGGCUUUAAAGGAGACUAUUUUCACAGUUGGAGUUCGAGUUGCAGACUUGGAGUUCGAUUUGCAGCAAAAGAUUUGAAGGUUAUGAGGAAAAGAUUUAUAUAGCCUCAUCAUAUAGCCUCCUCCACGCAAAAGAAGAAGCUCAGUGUGUGUUAUACGACAAAAGUGAAGAAAAAGAAGGUUAUGGGUCAAGUGGUGGGAUAGAAAUGGAUGAUGAUGUAGAAGAAGAAUAUCAUGGUCAUGGUGCACAAGAAAUGGAAACAAUAAGAAAUAGCAUUACUCAAAGUUUGAUGAAUGCGCGUAAUAACGUGAACAUUUGAAUAUGUUAUGAUAUUUGAUGCGAGCUGGAUAUUUAAUUGUUAUUAAUGUUACUAAUAUAUUUGUAUAA